UACAGAGGGUGCAAGCGUUGUUCGGAAUCAUUGGGCGUAAAGGGCGUGUAGGCGGCUUAGUAAGUCAGAUGUGAAAUCCCAGGGCUCAACCUUGGACGUGCAUCUGAAACUGCUAAGCUAGAGUUUCGGAGAGGGUGGUGGAAUUCCCAGUGUAGAGGUGAAAUUCGUAGAUAUUGGGAGGAACACCGGUGGCGAAAGCGACCACCUGGACGAUAACUGACGCUGAGGCGCGAGAGCGUGGGGAGCAAACAGG
RNAcentral lists this ribosomal RNA (253 nucleotides) under uncultured bacterium. RNAcentral's name for it is "partial 16S ribosomal RNA". It matches the Rfam family "Bacterial small subunit ribosomal RNA", at positions 524 to 776 of the family's 1533-position model. The record is from RNAcentral.